This 269-nucleotide ribosomal RNA is filed under the name uncultured archaeon. RNAcentral describes it as "partial 16S ribosomal RNA". It matches the Rfam family "Archaeal small subunit ribosomal RNA", at positions 478 to 747 of the family's 1478-position model. The record is from RNAcentral.
AGCUCCCCGAGUGGUGAGGACGAUUAUUGGGCCUAAAGCGUCCGUAGCCGGCUUGGCAAGUUUCCCGUCAAAUCCGACGACAUAAUCGCCGGACCGCGGGAAAUACUACCACGCUAGGAGGCGGGAGAGGCCGGCGGUACUUACGGGGUAGGGGUGAAAUCCAUUAAUCCCGUGAGGACCACCAGUGGCGAAGGCGACCGGCCAGAACGCGCUCGACGGUGAGGGGCGAAAGCUGGGGGAGCGAACCGGAUUAGAUACCCGAGUAGUCC